GCAUUGGUUUUUCAGUGGUAGAAUUCUCGCCUUACAGGCAGGACAUUGGGGUUUGAAUCCUGGCCAAUGCA
Molecule: transfer RNA, 71 nt
Filed under: Lepisosteus oculatus (spotted gar)
Lineage: Eukaryota; Metazoa; Chordata; Actinopteri; Semionotiformes; Lepisosteidae
Rfam family: tRNA
About the family: Transfer RNA (tRNA) molecules are approximately 80 nucleotides in length. Their secondary structure includes four short double-helical elements and three loops (D, anti-codon, and T loops). Further hydrogen bonds mediate the characteristic L-shaped molecular structure. tRNAs have two regions of fundamental functional importance: the anti-codon, which is responsible for specific mRNA codon recognition, and the 3' end, to which the tRNAs corresponding amino acid is attached (by aminoacyl-tRNA synthetases). tRNAs cope with the degeneracy of the genetic code in two manners: having more than one tRNA (with a specific anti-codon) for a particular amino acid; and 'wobble' base-pairing, i.e. permitting non-standard base-pairing at the 3rd anti-codon position.
Source: Rfam by way of RNAcentral